AACGAACGCUGGCGGCAGGCUUAACACAUGCAAGUCGAACGCGUGCAGCAAUGCACGAGUGGCGCACGGGUGAGUAACGAGUGGAUAUCUGCCUUUUGGUUCGGAAUAACCCCGGGAAACUGGGGCUAAUACCGGAUGGUUCCUACGGGAUAAAGAUUUAUCGCCAAAAGAUGAGUCCGCGUCCGAUUAGCUAGUUGGUGAGGUAAUGGCUCACCAAGGCGACGAUCGGUAGCUGGUCUGAGAGGACGAUCAGCCACACUGGGACUGAGACACGGCCCAGACUCCUACGGGAGGCAGCAGUGGGGAAUAUUGGACAAUGGGCGCAACCCUGAUCCAGCCAUGCCGCGUGAGUGAUGAAGGCCUUCGGGUUGUAAAGCUCUUUUGGCGGGGACGAUGAUGACGGUACCCGCAGAAUAAGCCCCGGCUAACUUCGUG
Molecule: ribosomal RNA, 435 nt
Filed under: uncultured bacterium
Lineage: Bacteria
Description: partial 16S ribosomal RNA
Rfam family: Bacterial small subunit ribosomal RNA
Source: RNAcentral